CACUAUCGUUAACUGAAUACAUAGGUUAACGAGGCGAACCGGGGGAACUGAAACAUCUAAGUACCCCGAGGAAAAGAAAUCAACCGAGAUUCCCCCAGUAGCGGCGAGCGAACGGGGAGCAGCCCAGAGUCUGAAUCAGCUUGUGUGUUAGUGGAACGGUCUGGAAAGUCCGACGGUACAGGGUGAUAGUCCCGUACACCAAAAUGCACAGGCUGUGAACUCGAAGAGUAGGGCGGGACACGUGGUAUCCUGUCUGAAUAUGGGGGGACCAUCCUCCAAGGCUAAAUACUCCUGACUGACCGAUAGUGAACCAGUACCGUGAGGGAAAGGCGAAAAGAACCCCGGCGAGGGGAGUGAAAAAGAACCUGAAACCGUGUACGUACAAGCAGUGGGAGCACCUUCGGGUGUGACUGCGUACCUUUUGUAUAAUGGGUCAGCGACUUAUAUUCUGUAGCAAGGUUAACCGUAUAGGGGAGCCGCAGGGAAACCGAGUCUUAACUGGGCGUUAAGUUGCAGGGUAUAGACCCGAAACCCGGUGAUCUAGCCAUGGGCAGGUUGAAGGUUGGGUAACACUAACUGGAGGACCGAACCGACUAAUGUUGAAAAAUUAGCGGAUGACUUGUGGCUGGGGGUGAAAGGCCAAUCAAACCGGGAGAUAGCUGGUUCUCCCCGAAAGCUAUUUAGGUAGCGCCUCGUGAACUCAUCUUCGGGGGUAGAGCACUGUUUCGGCUAGGGGGUCAUCCCGACUUACCAACCCGAUGCAAACUACGAAUACCGAAGAAUGUUAUCACGGGAGACACACGGCGGGUGCUAACGUCCGUCGUGAAGAGGGAAACAACCCAGACCGCCAGCUAAGGUCCCAAAGUCAUGGUUAAGUGGGAAACGAUGUGGGAAGGCACAGACAGCCAGGAUGUUGGCUUAGAAGCAGCCAUCAUUUAAAGAAAGCGUAAUAGCUCACUGGUCGAGUCGGCCUGCGCGGAAGAUGUAACGGGGCUAAACCAUGCACCGAAGCUGCGGCAGCGACACUAUGUGUUGUUGGGUAGGGGAGCGUUCUGUAAGCCUGCGAAGGUGUGCUGUGAGGCAUGCUGGAGGUAUCAGAAGUGCGAAUGCUGACAUAAGUAACGAUAAAGCGGGUGAAAAGCCCGCUCGCCGGAAGACCAAGGGUUCCUGUCCAACGUUAAUCGGGGCAGGGUGAGUCGACCCCUAAGGCGAGGCCGAAAGGCGUAGUCGAUGGGAAACAGGUUAAUAUUCCUGUACUUGGUGUUACUGCGAAGGGGGGACGGAGAAGGCUAUGUUAGCCGGGCGACGGUUGUCCCGGUUUAAGCAUGUAGGCUGGUUAUCCAGGCAAAUCCGGAUAAUCAAGGCUGAGGUGUGAUGACGAGGCACUACGGUGCUGAAGUAACAAAUGCCCUGCUUCCAGGAAAAGCCUCUAAGCAUCAGGUAACAUCAAAUCGUACCCCAAACCGACACAGGUGGUCAGGUAGAGAAUACCAAGGCGCUUGAGAGAACUCGGGUGAAGGAACUAGGCAAAAUGGUGCCGUAACUUCGGGAGAAGGCACGCUGGUGUGUAGGUGAAGCCCCUGCGGGUGGAGCUGAGACCAGUCGAAGAUACCAGCUGGCUGCAACUGUUUAUUAAAAACACAGCACUGUGCAAACACGAAAGUGGACGUAUACGGUGUGACGCCUGCCCGGUGCCGGAAGGUUAAUUGAUGGGGUUAUCCGUAAGGAGAAGCUCUUGAUCGAAGCCCCGGUAAACGGCGGCCGUAACUAUAACGGUCCUAAGGUAGCGAAAUUCCUUGUCGGGUAAGUUCCGACCUGCACGAAUGGCGUAAUGAUGGCCAGGCUGUCUCCACCCGAGACUCAGUGAAAUUGAACUCGCUGUGAAGAUGCAGUGUACCCGCGGCAAGACGGAAAGACCCCGUGAACCUUUACUAUAGCUUGACACUGAACAUUGAGCCUUGAUGUGUAGGAUAGGUGGGAGGCUUUGAAGCGUGGACGCCAGUCUGCGUGGAGCCAACCUUGAAAUACCACCCUUUAAUGUUUGAUGUUCUAACGUUGGCCCCUUACCGGGGUUGCGGACAGUGUCUGGUGGGUAGUUUGACUGGGGCGGUCUCCUCCCAAAGCGUAACGGAGGAGCACGAAGGUUAGCUAAUCCUGGUCGGACAUCAGGAGGUUAGUGCAAUGGCAUAAGCUAGCUUGACUGCGAGCGUGACGGCGCGAGCAGGUGCGAAAGCAGGUCAUAGUGAUCCGGUGGUUCUGAAUGGAAGGGCCAUCGCUCAACGGAUAAAAGGUACUCCGGGGAUAACAGGCUGAUACCGCCCAAGAGUUCAUAUCGACGGCGGUGUUUGGCACCUCGAUGUCGGCUCAUCACAUCCUGGGGCUGAAGUAGGUCCCAAGGGUAUGGCUGUUCGCCAUUUAAAGUGGUACGCGAGCUGGGUUUAGAACGUCGUGAGACAGUUCGGUCCCUAUCUGCCGUGGGCGCUGGAGAAUUGAGGGGGGCUGCUCCUAGUACGAGAGGACCGGAGUGGACGCAUCACUGGUGUUCGGGUUGUCAUGCCAAUGGCACUGCCCGGUAGCUAAAUGCGGAAGAGAUAAGUGCUGAAAGCAUCUAAGCACGAAACUUGCCCCGAGAUGAGUUCUCCCUGAGACUUUAAGUCUCCUGAAGGAACGUUGAAGACGACGACGUUGAUAGGCCGGGUGUGUAAGCGCAGCGAUGCGUUGAGCUAACCGGUACUAAUGAACCGUGAGGCUUAACCUUACAACGCCGAAG
This 2770-nucleotide ribosomal RNA is filed under the name Klebsiella pneumoniae. RNAcentral's name for it is "partial 23S ribosomal RNA". It matches the Rfam family "Bacterial large subunit ribosomal RNA". The record is from RNAcentral. Lineage: Bacteria; Pseudomonadati; Pseudomonadota; Gammaproteobacteria; Enterobacterales; Enterobacteriaceae.